RNAcentral lists this ribosomal RNA (250 nucleotides) under uncultured bacterium. RNAcentral describes it as "partial 16S ribosomal RNA". It matches the Rfam family "Bacterial small subunit ribosomal RNA", at positions 525 to 775 of the family's 1533-position model. The record is from RNAcentral.
ACGUAGGGGGCAAGCGUUAUCCGGAUUCAUUGGGCGUAAAGCGCUCGUAGGCGGUCUGUUAGGUCGGGAGUUAAAUCCGGGGGCUCAACCCCCGUUCGCUCCCGAUACCGGCAGACUUGAGUUUGGUAGGGGAAGGUGGAAUUCCUAGUGUAGCGGUGGAAUGCGCAGAUAUUAGGAAGAACACCAGUGGCGAAGGCGGCCUUCUGGGCCAUAACUGACGCUGAGGAGCGAAAGCUAGGGGAGCAAACAG